AGACGCAGCAUCCCUGGCUAGAGAACAGCAUAGCACCAAAUGGCUGGUUUCAUUUAUGCUAAGCAGCAGACGUCCACCACUCCCACUGAAGCAGCGGCAGGUUUUCGCACAACCAAGGCUGGUACCUGCGCUAGGGGUCUUCCUGCACAGGCUCGACAUAAAAAUGAGGAAAAACCGGUGCAUUUCAUCCCUGGCAUCUCCAACUCCAGGCCUAGCCAACAAGUUCCGGUUCCGGAGCAGCAGUGCAACUCCAAGCCUGCGUCAUCCUCCUCCCCUCCAGUGGGAUUCAUCAGGGAGGCGUUGCAGCACCAAAAGGCUCAGCUGAAGGAAAAAAGUCAAAAAACACGCCAAAAGGUUGCUUCGCUUAUACGGGGAAAAUAGGAUAAAGAGAAGGAUGUAUAGAAGUUGAACUAGUCAAGGUAGUAUGGAUGCCUACUGCAUUUUUUUAUAGAUAAAGGAAUUUUUAUUCUGGUCUCUGUAAGAGUUUUGCACUCAACCAUUCAUUAUUACAAUGUUUAGCCUCGAGCUGAUGAAGAAAAGCUCCCAAAAAGCAUAAAAAGUGCGGGAGACUAUAUAAAUAGAUUAAGUUCUAAGCC
Sorghum bicolor (sorghum) is the source of this 596-nucleotide long non-coding RNA. RefSeq lists it as uncharacterized. The record is from RefSeq and is a predicted model, not a curated record. Lineage: Eukaryota; Viridiplantae; Streptophyta; Magnoliopsida; Poales; Poaceae. The transcript has 2 exons.